This 250-nucleotide ribosomal RNA is filed under the name uncultured bacterium. Its description in RNAcentral is "partial 16S ribosomal RNA". It matches the Rfam family "Bacterial small subunit ribosomal RNA", at positions 524 to 773 of the family's 1533-position model. The record is from RNAcentral. RNAcentral also lists the same sequence under 1 other name.
UACGGAGGGUGCAAGCGUUGUUCGGAAUUAUUGGGCGUAAAGCGCGUGUAGGCGGCUAUUUAAGUCUGAUGUGAAAGCCCGGGGCUCAACCCCGGAAGUGCAUUGGAAACUGGAUAGCUUGAGUACGGGAGAGGGUAGUGGAAUUUCGAGUGUAGGGGUGAAAUCCGUAGAUAUUCGAAGGAACACCGGUGGCGAAGGCGGCUACCUGGACCGAUACUGACGCUGAUGCACGAAAGCGUGGGGGGGCAAA